This 329-nucleotide ribosomal RNA is filed under the name Cyclothone alba (bristlemouth). Its description in RNAcentral is "12S ribosomal RNA". It matches the Rfam family "Bacterial small subunit ribosomal RNA", at positions 870 to 1366 of the family's 1533-position model. The record is from RNAcentral. Lineage: Eukaryota; Metazoa; Chordata; Actinopteri; Stomiiformes; Gonostomatidae.
CGCCUAGGGACUACGAGCGCUAGCUUAAAACCUAAGGACUUGGCGGUAUCUCAAACCCCCUAGAGGAGCCUGUCCUGGAACCGAUAAUCCCCGUUUAACCUCACCUCUGCUUGCCAACCCAGCCUGUAUACCUCCGUCGACAGCUCUCCCCUCAGGGCCCAAAAGCAAGCGAGAUAGACUAACCCCUAAUACGUCAGGUCGAGGUGCAGCGUACUGCAGAGGGUGAGAGAUUGGCUACACUCCCUAGAGUAGGGACCACGAAGGGGGCCUUGAAACAGGUCUCUGAAGGAGGAUUUAGCAGUAAGAGGAGACUAGAGAGCCCCUCUGAA